Molecule: ribosomal RNA, 569 nt
Filed under: uncultured bacterium
Lineage: Bacteria
Description: partial 16S ribosomal RNA
Rfam family: Bacterial small subunit ribosomal RNA
Source: RNAcentral
UGGGGAAUUUUGGACAAUGGGCGAAAGCCUGAUCCAGCAAUGCCGCGUGUGUGAAGAAGGCCUUCGGGUUGUAAAGCACUUUUGUCCGGAAAGAAAUCCUUGGCUCUAAUACAGUCGGGGGAUGACGGUACCGGAAGAAUAAGCACCGGCUAACUACGUGCCAGCAGCCGCGGUAAUACGUAGGGUGCAAGCGUUAAUCGGAAUUACUGGGCGUAAAGCGUGCGCAGGCGGUUUGCUAAGACCGAUGUGAAAUCCCCGGGCUCAACCUGGGAACUGCAUUGGUGACUGGCAGGCUAGAGUAUGGCAGAGGGGGGUAGAAUUCCACGUGUAGCAGUGAAAUGCGUAGAGAUGUGGAGGAAUACCGAUGGCGAAGGCAGCCCCCUGGGCCAAUACUGACGCUCAUGCACGAAAAGCGUGGGGGAGCAAAACAGGAUUAGAUACCCUGGUAGUCCACGCCCUAAAACGAUGUCAACUAGUUGUUGGGGAUUCAUUUCCUUAGUAACGUAGCUAACGCGUGAAGUUGACCGCCUGGGGAGUACGGUCGCAAGAUUAAAACUCAAAUGAAUUGA